UUUAUUUUAGCGGCGGACGGGUGAGUAACGUGUGGGCAACCUGCCUUUUACUGGGGAAUAAUCACUGGAAACGGUGACUAAUACCGCAUAAUAUUCUUGGAAGGCAUCUUCCGAGAAGGAAAGGAAAUAUUCGGUAAAAGAUGGGCCCGCAUCUGAUUAGCUAGUUGGUGAGAUAACAGCCCACCAAGGCGACGAUCAGUAGCCGACCUGAGAGGGUGACCGGCCACAUUGGGACUGAGACACGGCCCAAACUCCUACGGGAGGCAGCAG
RNAcentral lists this ribosomal RNA (270 nucleotides) under uncultured bacterium. RNAcentral describes it as "partial 16S ribosomal RNA". It matches the Rfam family "Bacterial small subunit ribosomal RNA", at positions 86 to 354 of the family's 1533-position model. The record is from RNAcentral.